GAUGAACGCUGGCGGCGUGCCUAAUACAUGCAAGUCGAGCGAACAGACGAGGAGCUUGCUCCUCUGACGUUAGCGGCGCGCGGGUGAGUAACACGUGUAUAACCUCCCUAUCAGACUGGGAUAACUUCGAGAAACCGGCGCUAAUACGGGAUAAUAUACUGAACCACGUUGUUCAAUAGUGAAAGACGGCUUUGCCGUCAGUUGUCGAUGGAUACGCGCCUGAUCAGCUAGUUGGUAGGGUAGUGGCUUACCAAGGCGUUGACGGGUAGCCGGCCUGAGAGGGUGACCGGCCACAUGGGGACUGAGAGACGGCCCAGACUCCUACGGGAGGCAGCAGUGGGGAAUAUUGCACAAUGGGCGGAAGCCUGAUGCAGCAACGCCGCGUGCGGGAUGACGGCCUUCGGGUUGUAAACCGCUUUCGCCUGUGACGAAGCGUGAGUGACGGUAAUGGGUAAAGAAGCACCGGCUAACUACGUG
This 477-nucleotide ribosomal RNA is filed under the name uncultured bacterium. Its description in RNAcentral is "partial 16S ribosomal RNA". It matches the Rfam family "Bacterial small subunit ribosomal RNA", at positions 28 to 507 of the family's 1533-position model. The record is from RNAcentral.